Molecule: ribosomal RNA, 752 nt
Filed under: uncultured bacterium
Lineage: Bacteria
Description: bacterial SSU rRNA
Rfam family: Bacterial small subunit ribosomal RNA
Source: RNAcentral
GUGCGAAAGCGUGGGUAGCGAACAGGAUUAGAUACCCUGGUAGUCCACGCCGUAAACGAUGACAACUAGCUGUUGGAAAGCUAUGCUUUUCAGUGGCGCAGCUAACGUCUUAAGUUGUCCGCCUGGGGAGUACGGCCGCAAGGUUAAAACUCAAAUGAAUUGACGGGGACCCGCACAAGCGGUGGAGCAUGUGGUUUAAUUCGAUGCAACGCGAAAAACCUUACCUACACUUGACAUACUUGGAAUCUUUUGUAACGAAAGAGUGCCUUUUGGAGCCAAGAUACAGGUGCUGCAUGGCUGUCGUCAGCUCGUGUCGUGAGAUGUUGGGUUAAGUCCCAUAACGAGCGCAACCCUUACCCUUAUUUGCCAGCGAUUCGGUCGGGAACUAUAAGGGGACUGCCGGUGAUAAACCGGAGGAAGGUGAGGACGACGUCAAGUCAUCAUGGCCCUUACGUGUAGGGCUACACACGUGCUACAAUGGGGAGUACAGAUAGACGCUAAAGCGCGAGCUGGUGCUAAUCUCAUAAAACUCUUCGUAGUCCGGAUUGCAGUCUGCAACUCGACUGCAUGAAGUCGGAAUCGCUAGUAAUCGCGAAUCAGCAUGUCGCGGUGAAUACGUUCUCGGGUCUUGUACACACCGCCCGUCACACCAUGGGAGUGUAUUGCACCAGAAGUGGGUAGUCUAACCUUCGGGAGGGCGCUCACCACGGUGUGGUCCAUGACUGGGGUGAAGUCAUAACAAGGUAGCCGUA